This 325-nucleotide ribosomal RNA is filed under the name uncultured eukaryote. RNAcentral describes it as "partial 18S ribosomal RNA". It matches the Rfam family "Eukaryotic small subunit ribosomal RNA", at positions 1470 to 1796 of the family's 1831-position model. The record is from RNAcentral.
CCCUUAGAUGUCCUGGGCCGCACGCGCGCUACACUGAUGCAUUCAACGAGUUUUACCUUGGCCGAGAGGCCUGGGCAAUCUUUUAAACCUGCAUCGUGAUAGGGAUAGAUUAUUGCAAUUAUUAAUCUUGAACGAGGAAUUCCUAGUAAACGCAAAUCAUCAAUUUGCAUUGAUUACGUCCCUGCCCUUUGUACACACCGCCCGUCACACCUACCGAUUGAAUGGUCCGGUGAAGCCUCGGGAUUGUGGCCAGUUCACUUUAUUGGGAGUUGGCUGCGAGAACUUGUCUAAACCUUAUCAUUUAGAGGAAGGUGAAGUCGUAACA